GAAGGCUGAAAUUCGCCUUCAUGAAGCUGGAAUUGCUAGUAAUGGCAGGUCAGCAUACUGCCGUGAAUACGUUCCCGGGCCUUGUACACACCGCCCGUCACACCAUGAGAGUUGGAAAUACCCGAAGCCUGUGAGCUAACAGUAAUGAGGCAGCAGUCGAAGGUAGAGCCAAUGAUUGGGGUGAAGUCGUAACAAGGUAAC
This 201-nucleotide ribosomal RNA is filed under the name uncultured bacterium. Its description in RNAcentral is "partial 16S ribosomal RNA". It matches the Rfam family "Bacterial small subunit ribosomal RNA", at positions 1300 to 1500 of the family's 1533-position model. The record is from RNAcentral.